This 538-nucleotide ribosomal RNA is filed under the name uncultured bacterium. Its description in RNAcentral is "partial 16S ribosomal RNA". It matches the Rfam family "Bacterial small subunit ribosomal RNA", at positions 32 to 530 of the family's 1533-position model. The record is from RNAcentral.
GNUUCCNAGACGCNGGCGGCGUCCUNACACAUGCACGUCGAACGCGAAAGUUUUCAUCGGAAGACGAGUAGAGUGGCGCACGGGUGAGUAACGCGUAAGUAAUCUGCCCUGGUAUCUGGGAUAACCCACCGAAAGGUGUGCUAAUACCGGAUACGCUGAUUUAUCAGGAAAGGUGGCCUCUUCAUGAAAGCUACUGUACCAGGAGGAGCUUGCNUACCAUUAGCUAGUUGGUAGGGUAAUGGCCUACCAAGGCAACGAUGGUUAGCGGGUCUGANNGGAUGAUCCGCCACACUGGAACUGAAACACGGACCAGACUCCUACGGGAGGCAGCAGUGAGGAAUAUUGCGCAAUGGGGGAAACCCUGACGCANCGACGCCGCGUGGAUGAUGAAGGCCUUCGGGUCNUAAAAUCCUGUCANAUGGAAAAAAUGUAUGGUGGUUAAUANCUGCCUAUUUGACGGUCCAUCAAAGGAACACCGCUACUCCUNCCANCACCNNGUAUUCNNAGGUCANCCUUUUCNAAUANUGGCUAANCCCCU